UUUCCAGCUUUAAGAAGUCCUUUUUAGUGGUGAUGAACUCCUUUAGCUUUUGCUUACUAGAAAAACUUGUUCUUUCCUUCAAUUCUGAAUGACUUUUCCAAGAAGAGUAUUCUUGGAAGUUUUUUCUUUCAGCACUUUGAAUAUAUCAUGACACUCCUUUAUGGCUUGCAAAGUUUCUGCUGAAAAUUUGCUGAGAGUCUUGAGGGAGUUCCCUUGUAUGUAAAAAGUUAUUUUUUUCUUGGUUCACUUAAGUUUCUCUCCUUGUCUUUAACUUUUGAUAUUUUAAUUGUAAUGUGUCUUUGAUAUGGGUGUCUUUGGGUUCUUAUUUGGAAGGCUCUGGGCUUCCUGGAUAUGGUUGUCUGUUGCCUUACUCAUGUUAGGGAAAGUUUUAGCCAUAUUUCUUCAAAUAAGUUCUUUGUCCCUUUCUCUCUCACUUCUCCUUCUGGGACUCCUGGAAUGCAGAUGGUCGUCUGUGUUGGUUUGUGUGAUGUUGUCCCAUAAGUCCUUUCAGCUAUCUUUACUUUUUUUUUUUUCCAUUUUUUUUCUUUUUGCUGCUUUGAUUGGGUGAAUCCCAUUGCUUUGUCUUUGAGUUCAGUGAUCCUUUCUUCUGCUUCUUCUAGUCUGCUGUUAAACCCCUCUAGUGUGUUUUUCAGUUCAGUUACUGUAUAUUUCAGCUCUGUGGCUUCUAUUUGUUACUUUCUUGUAUUUUUCCUAUCUCCUUGUUGAAGUUCUCACUGUGUUCAUCCAUUCCUCCCCCAAGUUUGGUGAGCAAAUUUAUGACUUAUUUUUAACUCAUCAGGUAAAUCACUUCAUUAAGAUUUUUAUCAUGAGGUUUUAAUCGUUUGGAACAUACUCCUCUGUUUCUUCAUUUUCCUUGACUCUCUGUGUUGGUUUCUGUGCAUUAGAUAAAACAACCACCUCUCCCAGUCUUAAAGGAGUGGCCUCAUGUAGGAGAUGAACCUUACUGUUAAACCCUGCCCUAACUCUUGAUCGUCUCUCAAAACAUUGUAAGUGUUCAAGCUGCCUAUUUUAUUUUCAGUGGUUCACAGUAGUUGAGGGUGUGCUAAGAUCUGUCAGUGUCCCAAAGGGGAGAAUCUCAGCACCUAGAUUCAGGCUGAAUGGAAGCCAGUCCCACAGGUAGCAGGUUUUAAAAUAUACAAAUAUAUAUAGUCUUGUAGGAUGGACCACAAGCAUAAGUCCUGCUGGCUACCAGAGCCAGGUGAUCAGCAAGUGUCCCCUGGGUGGCAGUUACAAAAAUUGGGCCUCUAGAUGAGUGUAUAAGCCCCCUUUCUGGGAGAUGCUGGUGACCUGGAGCGAGGUGGAGAAACAGCACAAAGAUGGCUUACAUUUCCUAAGAGCACAUCCGUAGGUGUCUAGAUGUGUGCCAAACCGGAAGCCUGCCCCUCAAGCCAAAGCUCCAGGACAAGCAAGUAGGCCUCUUACACAGAAAGACUGGGGGUAUAUGUUUUAGUCUGCUGUCUGUGCAGUACUCUGGGGAUGGUAGCCGGCCAAGAACUGUAUCUCUGAUUGUUUUGGGGUGGGCAGAUGAGUCAGAGCUCACAAGUCCUUUAAGAACUGUUUCUCAGUUUGCUGUAGCCUUGUGCGUCUUCUGGACACAAGCUCCAUGGGCUUUCAAAGCUAGAUGUUUUCGGGGCUCAUUUCUCAGGUGGUCUUUAAGGUUGGGUGCUGAUGUGGGCUUCAAAUUUUUCGGUCUGCAGGGAGAAGCUCUGAGUUUUGAGUUCGCUCCUGAUGGCCGGUUGCUGUGUUGGGGUGGAGUUUAUGUUGAGACUGUGUCCUAGCCUCUCCUACCCUCUUUGAUGCAAGCCUUCUCUCAUUUGCCAGAUAAAUAGGAGUCACACGGAUAAUUUGGGGGUUUUUUCCUAGAGGAAAUUGUCACAUAUGCAGCUGUAGAUCUGGUGUUGCCAUGGGACAAGCUUUGAUUUUCUAACCUGGAAAAUGGAACUGCCUAGCUUGAAUGGACUUGGGAAGACAGAAAUAAUACACUCUUACACACAUGCCUUGGCAUCCCACCAAGCACAAGGAGCCCUGAAGGACCAGGACAGGAGCAAAUCUGAAGGGACGUGCUGUUUGUUUGUGUUGCAGGGGUUUGUUCUCAUCUGGAUCAGGCUGUCUUUGCCCGAGACUGUCAGAAAGUUGAUCCAGGGCAUCGUCAAGUUCUUUGUCGUCACUCCGCUAAAAAGUAAAUCUGAAUCAGUCACUGGUUAGCCAAAUGAGGUCGCCUGUUGGAGUGCAGCCCUGACACUGCCACUAAGACUUCCAUAAGCUUAUGGGGUUGUCACCAGGGAGAUGGGCAGGUGGGCAGAGGCGCUGGAUCGGCGAUCCUUGCUUGGUGCUCCUUCUCGUCUUUCACUCUCAGCACUUGUCUGCACCCGUCUACCCCGCCCCACCCCUGGAUGUCUUUCUCUUCUGAGAAAAUAGGUCCCUCCCUAAAAAGAUGGGGUUCCUGGACUGAUUCUUCUAGAAACUAUGUCUUAUGAUGCUUUCAAUAUAUGUAACAGUAUGUUCCCAGCAAAGAAAAGUCACAUGAAUUAUGAUAGCUUAGUUUACUCUUUGAUUCCCAACUGUAUUCCUGUAAAGAAAGAUUUAUACCUAGUUUUAAUGAUAUCUUCAAACAAAAUAUUAACUAACACUAGAAACUCUGAUGGGAAAAGUGAUGGUAAAGGUGUCAUUCUAAAACAUACCUGUGAAACGCAAAAAGGCUUUUGAUUGUGGACGUUUAUUAACAGCCUCAAUCACAGGGGCCCCUGGAAUCUGAGUAUUAAGAAUUGAAGUGUAGGGCUUCCCUAGUGGCGCAGCGGUUGACAGCCCGCCUGCUGAUGCAGGGGACAUGGGUUCGUGCCCUGGUCUGGGAAGAUCCCACAUGCCGCAGAGCGGCUGGGCCCGUGAGCCAUGGCCGCUGAGCCUGCGCAUCUGGAGCCUGUGCUCCGCAACGGGAGAGGCCGCAGCAGUGAGAGGCCCGCGUACCGCAAAAAAAAAAAAAAAAAAAAAAAAGAAUUGAAGUGUAAAUGGCAGCCUUCCUUUCUGUUGCACAGGGACUUCUGUCAUUGUGGCUGUGUGUACAUACACAGACACACACAUAGACACAUGGAGAGAGGGCAUUUUACUGGUUUUAAGUGCUUCAUUAGAGCCCAGGAUUAUAGCAGCUAAUGGUGGUGCUACCCACAGCUGGGUCUGGGCUUUGUCAUUUGUGCCUCUGGAUGUUCUCAGAUGAUCCCACAUUAACCCAACAGGAUGAAAAUUCACUCAGAAUCUCAGAGUACAGCACUAAGUAAGCUUUGAUGCUUCAUCAAAAGGAAAGGAAGCAUAGCUGACUUCACUAAAGCUACUUCAUCUCCAACUAGCAGAUGGGGCACUUCUUCUCACCCAAGGAGAUGGGGAUCUGGUUUAGGGCGAUUUCUUUAUCUUUUGAUGUGCCGUGGUCUCCUGGAUAAUGUAUAAUUUGGUAGUGCAAAGAAAAUCAAUCAAGGAAGUCUGGAAAAGCUCUGGUCCCACAGUCUUACCUCAGAACAUGUAAAUAAUUAAAACAAUAUUGACACUAAGUUUCUUCUAUUACUAGCAUGAAAAUGACAAGUUUUUACUGGUGUGAAUGGGAGGAAGACAAUGCUAUUCCAUGAGGAGUUUGUGAAUUUUGGGGGCAGAGAGAAGCUCAAACACUGAGCAAUUCCUUAAAGUAAACUUGAGGUUAAAUAAUGAGUAGUAUUUAUAGCAUGGAUCAGGAAAAAUAUAAAGGAGGAGAACAUCAAUUAUCAGGAAAGCUAAAUAAUUUUAAAAAAUCUAAUAAUCUGAACAUAUACACAAUGCACAUUAUUGUACUUCAAUUCUAAUAAAGCAACAAUAUUAAGCUCCUUCA
This is a long non-coding RNA of Lagenorhynchus albirostris (white-beaked dolphin), 3871 nucleotides long. RefSeq lists it as uncharacterized. The record is from RefSeq and is a predicted model, not a curated record. The transcript has 4 exons. NCBI's taxonomy places the organism in Eukaryota, Metazoa, Chordata, Mammalia, Artiodactyla, Delphinidae.